This 2966-nucleotide ribosomal RNA is filed under the name human gut metagenome. Its description in RNAcentral is "bacterial LSU rRNA". The stretch from base 1107 to 2966 matches the Rfam family "Bacterial large subunit ribosomal RNA". The record is from RNAcentral.
CUAUAUCUGAAACUGGAAAUAUCGGCAUAGACUCUAUCCGUUCCGUUUAUGACAUUUUACCUAUGCAGAGUAAAAACAGCCUGAUGGGAAGGCUCGCUCUCGGAGGAAUAGAAGAACAGGAAAAAAAGGACCAGGCCUCACGGCGCAAAUGGACCUUGGCCGGUAUGAUCGGCAUGGGCGCCAUCCUUUCGGUCUGUCUGGCGCUACUCUAACACGACAAAAAAGUGGCUUCGCGAAUACAGGAGUUUCGCGAAGCCACUUUUUGUAUGCGUAAAAGGAAAUGCCGUACAGAGUUAUGCGCGCAUAGCCCGCAUGGAAUUGAGGACGGCCAGGAUGAGGACGCCGACAUCACCGAAGACGGCUUCCCACAUGCCGGCAAUACCGAGAGCCCCGAGGAUAAGGAAGAGACCUUUAAUGCCAAUAGCGAAGACGAUAUUCUGCGUGGCAAUAGCCCGCGUCGCUUUAGCAAUGUUCAUAGCUUCCGGAAUCUUCGACGGUUCGUCCGUCAUGAGGAUGACGUCGGCGGCUUCGAUGGCGGCGUCUGAGCCGAGGGCACCCAUGGCGAUGCCUACGUCAGCCCGGGCCAGUACCGGUGCAUCGUUGAUGCCGUCGCCGACGAAGGCCAGUUUUUUGCCGGGUUUCUUCGCCGCGUCGAGUUCUUCCAAACGUUCUACCUUUUCUGCCGGCAAGAGCUGGGCAAAGCAUUUGUCCAGGCCCAGCUUCUUGGCAAUAGCCAUGGCGAUGGCUUUGCUGUCGCCUGUGAGCAUGACCGUUUGGGAAACGCCUUUUUUCUUCAGCUCUGCAAUAGCCUUCUGGCUGUCUUCUUUGACUUCAUCGGCAAUGACCAGGCAGCCCAUAUAGGUACCGUCGACGGCUACAUAGACCUUGGUACCCGUUUCUUCAUUUUCCGUGAAAGGAACGGCUGCUUCCUGCAAGAGGCGGGCGUUGCCGGCGAGGAUUUCCUUACCCUGCCAGGUGGCGCAAAUGCCGCGGCCGCUCUUUUCGCAGUACGCUGCAAGUUCACUGCGGUCCGGUGUGCUGCCGUAGGCUUCCAUAAUGGAUGUGGCAAUGGGGUGGCGGGAACCGCAUUCGGCAAGAGCUGCGUAGUGGAGGAGUGUAUCCUUGCUGACACCGGCUGCAGUAGCGAUAUUUGUUACCUCAAAGGUACCCUUUGUAAGCGUACCGGUUUUAUCGAAGACGAUCGUAUCGACCUGGGCCAAGGCUUCCAGGUAGUUGCUGCCCUUGACGAGAAUGCCCUUGCGCGAUGCUGCGCCAAUGCCGCUAAAGAAGGUCAGGGGAAUGGAAACGACCAGGGCACACGGGCAAGAGAUGACGAGGAAGACGAAGGAGCGCAUGAUCCAGUCUGUCCAGACACCGCCAAAGAAAAGAGGCGGUACGGCAGCCAGGAAGACGGCACCGAUGACGACAGCUGGCGUGUAGUAACGGCAGAAACGGGUAAUGAACCGUUCCAUGGGCGCCUUGCGGGCGGCUGCGUUUUCUACGAGAUCGAUGACCUUGCUGGCUGUUGAUUCGCCAAAGCUGUGGGUCGUUUCGAUUUCCAGCAUGCCGUCUGUGGAAAUGCAACCCGACAGGGCUUCGUCGCCGGCUUCUACGCGGCGCGGUACGGCUUCACCGGUCACCCGAGAAAAACCCCUAGGCAGCCGCCCGGGGCCCGUACCGCAAACCGACACAGGUGGGUGGGUAGAGUAUACCAAGGCGAUCGGGAGAACCAUGGUUAAGGAACUCGGCAAAAUCACCCCGUAACUUCGGGAGAAGGGGUGCCGCCUCGGGUGAUGGGACCCAGCUCCCGGAGCCCCGGGCGGCCGCAGCGAAUAGGUCCAAGCGACUGUUUACCAAAAACACAGGACUCUGCUGAAGCCGUAAGGCGACGUAUAGGGUCUGACGCCUGCCCGGUGCCGGAAGGUCACGCGGAGGAGUUAGCCGCAAGGCGAAGCCCCGAAGCCAAGCCCCGGUAAACGGCGGCCGUAACUAUAACGGUCCUAAGGUAGCGAAAUUCCUUGUCGGGUAAGUUCCGACCUGCACGAAAGGCGUAACGACUUGGACGCUGUCUCAACCAUGGCCCCGGCGAAAUUGCACUAGUCGUGAAGAUGCGACUUACCCGCAGAAGGACGGAAAGACCCCGUGAACCUUUACUGCAGCUUGGCAUUGGCCGCCGGUCCGUCGCGUAGAGGAUAGGUGGGAGACCGUGAACCCGGGACGCCAGUCCCGGGGGAGUCGCCCUUGGAAUACCACCCCCGACGAACUGGCGUCCUAACCCGCGGCCGUGACCCGGCGCGGGGACCGUGCCAGGUGGGUAGUUUGACUGGGGCGGUCGCCUCCCAAAGAGUAACGGAGGCGCGCGAAGGUCUGCUCUGGGCGGUCGGCAACCGCCCGUCUGAGUGCAAGAGCAUAAGCAGGCCUGACUGCGAGACGUACAGGUCGAGCAGGUGGGAAACCAGGCUCUAGUGAUCCGGCGGCCCGGCGUGGAACGGCCGUCGCUCAACGGAUAAAAGGUACUCCGGGGAUAACAGGCUGAUCUUCCCCAAGAGUCCACAUCGACGGGAAGGUUUGGCACCUCGAUGUCGGCUCAUCGCAUCCUGGGGCUGGAGCAGGUCCCAAGGGUACGGCUGUUCGCCGUUUAAAGCGGUACGCGAGCUGGGUUCAGAACGUCGUGAGACAGUUCGGUCCCUAUCCUCUGUGGGCGUAGGAGAUCUGAGGGAGGCUGCCCCUAGUACGAGAGGACCGGGGUGGACGGACCUCCGGUGCACGGGUUGUUCACCAAGAGCACUGCCCGGUAGCUGAGUCCGGUCGGGAUAACCGCUGAAGGCAUCUAAGCGGGAAGCCCGUCCCGAGAUGAGAUCUCCCUUCGGUAAGGCCACUCGUAGACCACGAGUUCGAUAGGCCGCAGGUGCAAGGCGGGCGACCGCCUCAGCCGAGCGGCACUAAUCGGCCGAGCUCCUCCGCAU